Molecule: ribosomal RNA, 305 nt
Filed under: uncultured bacterium
Lineage: Bacteria
Description: bacterial SSU rRNA
Rfam family: Bacterial small subunit ribosomal RNA
Source: RNAcentral
GCCCUACGGGGGGCAGCAGUGGGGAAUAUUGCACAAUGGGGGAAACCCUGAUGCAGCGACGCCGCGUGAGGGAAGACGGUUUUCGGAUUGUAAACCUCUGUCCUCUGUGAAGAUGAUGACGGUAGCAGAGGAGGAAGCUCCGGCUAACUACGUGCCAGCAGCCGCGGUAAUACGUAGGGAGCGAGCGUUGUCCGGAUUUACUGGGUGUAAAGGGUGCGUAGGCGGCUAUGCAAGUCAGUAGUGAAAUCCAUGGGCUUAACCCAUGAACUGCUAUUGAAACUGCACAGCUUGAGUGAAGUAGAGGU